Molecule: ribosomal RNA, 768 nt
Filed under: uncultured bacterium
Lineage: Bacteria
Description: bacterial SSU rRNA
Rfam family: Bacterial small subunit ribosomal RNA
Source: RNAcentral
AGAGUUUGAUCCUGGCUCAGGACGAACGCUGGCGGCGUUAACACAUGCAAGUCGAGCGGAAAGGCCCUUCGGGGUACUCGAGCGGCGAACGGGUGAGUAACACGUGAGUAACCUGCCCUGGACUUUGGGAUAACCCUCGGAAACGGGGGCUAAUACCGAAUACGACCAUUCACUGCAUGGUGUGAUGGUGGAAAGUUUUUCGGUCUGGGAUGGACUCGCGGCCUAUCAGCUUGUUGGUGGGGUAAUGGCCUACCAAGGCGACGACGGGUAGCCGGCCUGAGAGGGCGACCGGCCACACUGGGACUGAGACACGGCCCAGACUCCUACGGGAGGCAGCAGUGGGGAAUAUUGCACAAUGGGCGGAAGCCUGAUGCAGCGACGCCGCGUGAGGGAUGACGGCCUUCGGGUUGUAAACCUCUUUCAGCAGGGACGAAGCGCAAGUGACGGUACCUGCAGAAGAAGCGCCGGCCAACUACGUGCCAGCAGCCGCGGUAAGACGUAGGGCGCGAGCGUUGUCCGGAUUUAUUGGGCGUAAAGAGCUCGUAGGCGGCUUGUCGCGUCGAAUGUGAAAUCUCAGGGCUCAACUCUGACAUUGCAUUCGAUACGGGCAGGCUAGAGUUCGGUAGGGGAGACUGGAAUUCCUGGUGUAGCGGUGAAAUGCGCAGAUAUCAGGAGGAACACCGGUGGCGAAGGCGGGUCUCUGGGCCGAUACUGACGCUGAGGAGCGAAAGCGUGGGGAGCGAACAGGAUUAGAUACCCUAGUAGUCC